Molecule: long non-coding RNA, 847 nt
Organism: Choloepus didactylus (southern two-toed sloth)
Lineage: Eukaryota; Metazoa; Chordata; Mammalia; Pilosa; Megalonychidae
Exons: 3
Source: RefSeq, a predicted model, not a curated record
GAGAUGAGCGUCGCAGCAGACAAAGGGCACGGCAGAGAGAGGGACAGAGAGCGACAGCCCCCGGAGCCGAGGCCGGCAGUUCCUGCCCAGCCCCCUGCCUUGCCCCUGGCUUUGGGGAAAGUUUCGCGAAGCUUGAGCUUCCUGGAUUUCACUGAAGACCUGUCCGGGCUGUCCCUUCCCUUCCUCCCCUCCCCUCCCCUCAGCUGGCCCUGCACAGCCCAGAUAACCAGAUAAGGGCCUCUUUGAUUUUCAGUGUGUUUACACAGGCUGUGGCCCUGAGUUGCAGAAAGAACUGACGACAUCUGGGCCAGUGGGGACGCCUCCAGGUGGGUGAGGGGAGACAGGCCACUUACCUGCUCCUGGGAAUUCAUCACUCGUAACUUCAUCUGCUUCAGAGAAUUCUUCUUGGUUCCGAGGCAGAGGGUCUGUCUGACACCCACACACAUAAGCUCCCCUGGCACAGACGCCUGGUGGCAUGGGGAAAUGGAAGCCUGUUUUUAUGCCCUCGUGCCUUCUCCUCCUUGCUGCCCCACCAUCAACCUAGAGCGGACUCCCUCAAACCAGACUGAGAACUCUGCAGUUUCCGUUUCAUGUCCUCAAAGAGGUAGCUGGCUGGAGAGAAGCUGUGAAGGGGCUUGGUACUCGCCAACGGUCCCCCUCACUCUCACGGGCCCUGGCCAGACGCCCAAGUGAUGGCCUCAUCGGGCUUCACAGUGACUGCUGGUUGGUCCAUGGAGGCCGAGAGCUGUGUUCUGUUGCUGAUGGCCACCACAUCCUGCCUAGAGAGCUGUGACUGUUUAUGAGCCGGUGUCCUAAAUAAAGCCAGGUACUGUUUGGCUGAAAAAAA